This is a long non-coding RNA of Acanthochromis polyacanthus (spiny chromis), 1771 nucleotides long. RefSeq lists it as uncharacterized. Lineage: Eukaryota; Metazoa; Chordata; Actinopteri; Pomacentridae. The record is from RefSeq and is a predicted model, not a curated record. The transcript has 4 exons.
UAGAAAAUAGUUUUCUUACGUGUUGACUACAAAAAACUAAUACAAACGGUAAGUAAAUGUAAAUUACUGUAUUUAAAUCAGCUAAAGAUGAUGUUAUUUUACAGGGAUCUGCUGGUAAUUUUACAGUAUUCCACAGUUUUUACCGUAUUUGUCAGACACUCUUUCUACCAGAUUUUUAAAGUUUGUAAAAGAUGGAAAAGGAUCUAGGAAGAUCAGUGAGCAACUAAAAACCAGUGAUCAGGAGGUCUAGGAGGAGUCAUAGUACCACUAAUCAGGAGGUCUAGGAGGAGUCAUAGUUCUACUAAUCAGGAGGUCUAGAAGGAGUCAUAGUACCACUAAUCAGGAGGUCUAGGAGGAGUCAUAGUACCACUAAUCAGGAGGUCUAGAAGGAGUCAUAGUUCCACUAAUCAGGAGGUCUAGAAGGAGUCGUAGUUCCACUAAUCAGGAGGUCUAGAAGGAGUCGUAGUACCACUAAUCAGGAGGUCUAGAAGGAGUCGUAGUACCACUAAUCAGGAGGUCUAGAAGGAGUCAUAGUUCCACUAAUCGGAGCCCCUAAAAUGAUUCUACAGACAGUGAACUACUUCCCCAAUCGAGCUGUGAAAACAGACUUCAGCUGCUUCAGACUUCUAGGGUCAUCACUGGAAACCAGAGUUCGUAUGAAGCUCAUGUAUCUGCUGGUGUUUUUCAGGCCCUCUUGUUGCCAGAUUUUAAAACUUUUCUGCAAAAUGUUUUAUUUACACUGCAGUGAAAGUUUCUGAUCCACAGAAGAACACAAAAAAAGUGGAACCAUCAACAGGUCUGGGGGUGAAGAGCCGGACAGAGCAUCUUGUGUUUGGGCUCUGGUUGACUCCUGGGUGAACCUGAGCUGCAGCUCCUCCCUGUGCGGUCGAAGCCCAACGCUGGAACUCGAAGACUUUCUGAUCUCCAAACAUUUUCAGACGAUCUGCGCCUCUUCGCUCCAAAACGUAAACAGUGACAACACGCGAAUAUGCAAUUUCCUCUCCUGUGUUUGCCCUCCGUUAGGAUGAAAUUUACACACGGCUGACGUACAGGAAGCGCUCGCUGCAGCUCUGCUAGCUUGUGUUAUCUGCUGUCACUGUUGUGGGAGGCUGAUUUACGAUGGCUGGCGCAUAAUGAGUGUUAAUUUAAUGAAUGAGCCAUGAUGAAGGGGCCCCAAGUGCAUCAGCAUUCGGAGAAACUGUCCAGUUAAAGGGGCAGGGGGGUUAUAAAUGCUUUUAAACUGCCGGCUGUCGUAAGCAUGUGUGUGUUUUAGUUUGUUUGUGUGUCUUGGUGCUCCCUCCAUGUGACUGAGCUCAUGUCACGUGGACCAAGUGACUCCGGAGGGGCGAUCUGUGGCGUCACGGCAGCUCUUCCUUUUGUCUUCCCCCCUCCUCAGAGAGUCCUGACGCAGAGUCCCAGUCAGCACUGAUACAGCAGACAUCGCAUGCAGUAACUCACCGCAGAAAAAGUGGCGAAACUCUGACGAAUGAAAACUGGAGUCUCUGGGGAAACUACUGCGCUCGCCGAGGAAUGCAGCUCCACUUUCACUCUGCCGCUUUUAUUCUGAAAAGCGUCUGUGCAGGGUCAGUGGAGCAGCCAGCCGGUAAAAAUAAAUCACUGUUUACACACACGUCUGCUGUUUGUACAGAAUAGAAGAGAACAGUCCUGAGAACAUCACCUGAACGUCAAACGACUCAGACUCCCCAGCAGUGAUCAGAUUAGCUUCCAGUUAAACAGGAAAGUAUUUAAUCUCAACAGUUUAGACUCACUU